This 285-nucleotide long non-coding RNA is filed under the name Elaeis guineensis (African oil palm). RNAcentral describes it as "long non-coding RNA (EGUI_LNC036745)". Lineage: Eukaryota; Viridiplantae; Streptophyta; Magnoliopsida; Arecales; Arecaceae. The record is from RNAcentral.
CUAAGAGUCAUCCACACGAGCCCACAAAUCUCGAUCAGAAGUUCUGCUUCAGGAAAUUAGUACAGUAUGCUAGUACUGCGCUGAUCCUUCUUCGAUGGUUGAUCAGGUACCUUCUUCUUCUUGAUUUGGACUCUUUCAAAGAUGAAAAGUAGGAGGAGGAGUUUCAAAUCUGAGAUGCUCUCAAAAAACUCAAGAUGGAGGAAGGAAAGAGAUGAAACUAACAACCCUAGAAGAAGACCCUCUUCUUCUUCUCUUUACUCUCUCCUAGACAUCCUGUCUUAUGUC